AAGAGUCUACAAUGAUACCUCCCAAUCCUAUCUGAUCUUGGAAGCUAAGCAGAGUCAGUCCUGGUUAGUACUUGGAUGGGAGAGUAAUAAAUCCUAAGAGGCUAUUU
This 107-nucleotide ribosomal RNA is filed under the name Mustela putorius furo (domestic ferret). The record is from RNAcentral. Lineage: Eukaryota; Metazoa; Chordata; Mammalia; Carnivora; Mustelidae.